This 348-nucleotide unclassified non-coding RNA is filed under the name soil metagenome. RNAcentral describes it as "partial contains 5.8S ribosomal RNA, internal transcribed spacer 2, and large subunit ribosomal RNA". The stretch from base 1 to 120 matches the Rfam family "5.8S ribosomal RNA", at positions 35 to 154 of the family's 154-position model. The record is from RNAcentral.
GAUGAAGAACGUAGCAAAAUGCGAUAAGUAAUGUGAAUUGCAGAAUUCAGUGAAUCAUCGAAUCUUUGAACGCACAUUGCGCCCGCUGGUAUUCCGGCGGGCAUGCCUGUUCGAGCGUCAUUUCAACCCUCAAGCCCCCGGGUUUGGUGUUGGGGAUCGGCUCUGCCCUUCUGGGCGGUGCCUCCCCCGAAAUACAUUGGCGGUCUCGCUGCAGCCUCCAUUGCGUAGUAGCUAACACCUCGCAACUGGAACGCGGCGCGGCCAUGCCGUAAAACCCCAACUUCUGAAUGUUGACCUCGGAUCAGGUAGGAAUACCCGCUGAACUUAAGCAUAUCAAUAAGCGGAGGA